Small nucleolar RNA from Tachyglossus aculeatus (Australian echidna), 206 nucleotides. RefSeq annotates it as small nucleolar RNA SNORD17. The transcript has a single exon. NCBI's taxonomy places the organism in Eukaryota, Metazoa, Chordata, Mammalia, Monotremata, Tachyglossidae. The record is from RefSeq and is a predicted model, not a curated record.
AUGAAAUGACGACUGAACUCUAUCCAUUCUGGGAGUGUGCCGUGCUACUCUUCUGCAGCACGAGGUUCCCGUUCCAGGACCUCCGUGCCAUGCAGUUUCCAAAUGCCCUUUUGGUCUUUUGGCGUUCUGCUGGAGACGGCUGGUGUGUUUUUGGUGCCUGACUGGGAGAGGACGCUGGCUGCAGGGGGGUGGGGGGAGAUGAACAG